Molecule: transfer RNA, 85 nt
Filed under: Felis catus (domestic cat)
Lineage: Eukaryota; Metazoa; Chordata; Mammalia; Carnivora; Felidae
Rfam family: tRNA
About the family: Transfer RNA (tRNA) molecules are approximately 80 nucleotides in length. Their secondary structure includes four short double-helical elements and three loops (D, anti-codon, and T loops). Further hydrogen bonds mediate the characteristic L-shaped molecular structure. tRNAs have two regions of fundamental functional importance: the anti-codon, which is responsible for specific mRNA codon recognition, and the 3' end, to which the tRNAs corresponding amino acid is attached (by aminoacyl-tRNA synthetases). tRNAs cope with the degeneracy of the genetic code in two manners: having more than one tRNA (with a specific anti-codon) for a particular amino acid; and 'wobble' base-pairing, i.e. permitting non-standard base-pairing at the 3rd anti-codon position.
Source: Rfam by way of RNAcentral
GCUUGGGUGGCUCAGUCGGUUGAGCAUCUGACUUUGGCUCAGGUAAUGAUCUUGCGGUCUGUGGGUUCAAGCCCCAUGUUGGGCU